UAAGGAAUAUUGGGCAAUGGACGCAAGUCUGACCCAGCCAUGCCGCGUGAAGGAUGACGGCCCUAUGGGUUGUAAACUUCUUUUGUACGGGAAAAAACCUUCGAACGUGUUCGAAGCUGAUGGUACCGUAAGAAUAAGCAUCGGCUAACUCCGUGCCAGCAGCCGCGGUAAUACGGAGGAUGCAAGCGUUAUCCGGAUUCAUUGGGUUUAAAGGGUGCGUAGGCGGGAUAAUAAGUCAGUGGUGAAAGCCUACAGCUUAACUGUAGAACUGCCAUUGAUACUGUCAUUCUUGAGUACAGUUGAAGUGGGCGGAAUGUGUCAUGUAGCGGUGAAAUGCUUAGAUAUGACACAGAACACCGAUAGCGAAGGCAGCUCACUAAGCUGUAACUGACGCUCAUGCACGAAAGCGUGGGGAUCAAACA
RNAcentral lists this ribosomal RNA (422 nucleotides) under uncultured prokaryote. Its description in RNAcentral is "bacterial SSU rRNA". It matches the Rfam family "Bacterial small subunit ribosomal RNA", at positions 355 to 774 of the family's 1533-position model. The record is from RNAcentral.